RNAcentral lists this long non-coding RNA (357 nucleotides) under Salmo salar (Atlantic salmon). RNAcentral's name for it is "lncRNA (ENSSSAG00000082192.1, ENSSSAG00000117864.1)". Lineage: Eukaryota; Metazoa; Chordata; Actinopteri; Salmoniformes; Salmonidae. The record is from RNAcentral.
GGUUACAAGAAUCUAAAGCUAAUACAUACACUUUUUUUUCGUUUUAAAGAUACAUAUCACAGUUUUUACAAAAUAUAAUCAUGGAGAAUUAAGCCGUUCUGAAUGUCUGAAAAAACAAACUAAGAUCCUGUGUGUGUGUGUGUGUAUCCUGUGUGUGUGUGUGUAGAUCCUGUGUGUGUGUGUAGUUCCUGUGUGUGUGUGUAGAUCCUGUGUGUGUGUGUGUGCAGAUCCUGUGUGUGUGUGUGUAGAUCCUGUGUGUGUGUGUGUAGAUCCUGUGUGUGUGUGUGUAGAUCCUGUGUGUGUAGUUCCUGUGUGUGUAGUUCCUGUGUGUGUGUGUAGAUCCUGUGUGUGUGUGUG